AUUCGUUUGUUGGCUGUCUGCUAUAAAGGUUCUUUUGGAGCUAUUUAGUUAGAGUCUAAAAGUGAAGUGUAGUGAAGUGAAUAUUGCCAAUAAUAUUGUACAACAAAAACACACUUACAUACAUACAAACAUACGUGAAGUACAUGCAUAUUUAUCUGUUUGUAUGUACGUUUUUUUUUUGUUAAAGACUUCGUUUUUUGUGUUCAUUUGUAUGUUUUUUUUUUAAGUAGAUUUGUUGGUGUUUUUGUUGUUAUUGUUGUUCUAGUUUACGGUAUCGGCUCGUGUACUACUCAUUCGUCUCUUCGUCGGCAAUAUUUGUAUACGGUAAUAAUAGUCAUUCGCAUUCCGUUGCUUCAAUGGCGCAGUACAAAAUAACGGUACAAUUUUCUUUCGUUCUUUUGUGUCUCAAAUUCCGUACUAAAUAAAUAGCAAAAACAACCCAAAAGUAAAUAAAUAAAAAAAAAAAACACAAGAAAAAUUUAAAUAAAAUAAAACAAAGAAAUUGAAAUUAAUAAUUAAAACAUAUUAAAUAAAUCGAAUAAGCAAAAUAAAAUGGAAACCCCUUAAAAUAAAAGAAUAAUUUAAACAAAGUGAACUUAAACCAAAAUAAAAAAAAAAUUAUUUGUGUUUAAACAAAAAAGCAAAGCAAAACAAAACAAACAAAGAUUAAUAAAAUAAAGUGCGAAAUAAAUUGCCAGAUGACAUGAUCUUUUUAUUUAACAAACAAAUCAUAUUGAAAAUUUUGACCAGAACUUGCAACGAAUGCAGCCUUCUACAUCCUAAAAAUUAUGCUUCCGGAAACCACUUUUACAUUGCAGAUCUAAGAUAUUUACACAUCUAAUGAAUGAUAAGAUAAAGAUAUGACAUACAAAAUGCAAAGAUCAAAGAAGAUGAUGAUCUUUUGUAUUACAAAGUUAUAUAUCGAAAAUUUUUAAAAGAUUCAAAAAAUUCGGAGUGAUUUCCGGGGUUUAACAGAAUCAGUUUUCAGAUAUGAGUGCUUAUUUGCAAAAACCAAAAGAUUACACAAAAUGUCAACGUUGGAAAACAAAGGAAAUUUAUACAACUACCCACAACUUACUUACCUAUGAGUAGACAGACGUACAUACAUAUAUAUGUAAAUAUUUACAAACAACAAAUGUAUGCCUGUAAAUAAACUGUUUGUGUAUGAAAAUGAUUCUUGUGUAUAAUAGAAACAGGACAUUCUUAUGUAUUUUAGUUAAGUUGACAAAGAGAAACAACCUCUUUCAGUUUCUUAAACGAUACCAGAUUCCACAUAACAUGACAAUUGAUAAAAAUUUACCGAUAAAAACAAGUGCAAGGAUAAUACAUGUAACUCACAAUUUAAGUAAGUAAAUCCCUAAAUAUAAUUGCAAUAGAACUCAUAUUUAUAUCAACUUAUUCAAAUAUUUAGUAUAGAGUUUUUAAUUAAUGACUUUUACCAACCAACUGACUACAAACGUAAAUUUGAUGUGUAGAUAUGUAUGUAUUUCGUUUUCCUUUCAAUAAACCAAAAGAAAUACACAAAUGUGCAUGUACAUAUGUAUGUAUGCAGCUAGCAAGUUAAUUUGAAAAAUUUACAACAUGUUGGAUAACAAUAGUAUAUUUUUAGGCAAAACUAUAUGACAUUGCAAACGAACAAAGAUGAAUGUGUGCUGAAUGCAACUAUAGAUGUGUGAAAUAGUAUUAAAAAGUUUCAGACACAUAUGAAAAAGAGAAGCGGACAGUAAAGAUAUAAGAAAAAAAAAAACACAAGCAGCAAGUCAAAAACAAAUUUGACGAAGAAAAAUUAGAAAAUGAAACUAAAGAAUACAAAUCUAAAAUAAAAAAAGAAACUGCAACACUAGUUUGUUUGCCUCAAGCAUUUUGCUAAACAAACUUUUUGAAAUACAACAACACAGUUACAUAUAGAAAAAAAUCUAUAUCUUCUCUAUCCAUAUCACACUCUAUAUUAUUUGUCUGUCCAAUUUCAUGAAGAGCCGUUCAACAUUAUAACUUUGUUGUUCUUGUUGUUUUCUAUUUUCUCUUUAGUUUUUUUUAACAAAAAUUGUCUAUGCACUAGUUUGCAUGUGUGAGUAUGUGGAUGUAGUUAUUUUUUAUUUUACCAUCUGUUUGAUUGUAUGCGGCAACUUCCGUUUCGUUUGCCUGCAUUCUUGUUCUAGUUUUAUUUUCUUUUUAAUGUCUGUAUGUAUGUUUUUUUCUUUUUAAAAAAUCUUUCUUUUUAUGAUUUUUUUUCUAGAAUUUCUUUAUUUUCAUUUUCCAUUGUAAACAUUUAGUUUCCUUGGGUGCUUUUCUU
Molecule: long non-coding RNA, 2293 nt
Organism: Lucilia sericata (common green bottle fly)
Lineage: Eukaryota; Metazoa; Arthropoda; Insecta; Diptera; Calliphoridae
Exons: 8
Source: RefSeq, a predicted model, not a curated record